This 1294-nucleotide ribosomal RNA is filed under the name Burara aquilina. RNAcentral's name for it is "partial 16S ribosomal RNA". Lineage: Eukaryota; Metazoa; Arthropoda; Insecta; Lepidoptera; Hesperiidae. The record is from RNAcentral.
AAGAUAAAAAUUAAUUAAAUAAAUAAUAAUAAAAAUAAUUUUAAUAUAAUAAUAUAUAAAUAAUAUUUUAAUGGGGGUUAAAGUAUAAUUUAUAGAAAAAAUUAAAAUUUUUAUAGAAAAUUAGUAUUGUAGAAGAAUUUUGAAAUAUAUAUAUUAAAUAAUAAUUUAAUAAAAAGUAAAUUUAUAUUAUUGUAUCUUGUGUAUCAGAGUUUAUUAAAAAUUAGAUUUAUGAAAAUUAAUUCUCGAAUUUAAAAGAGAUAAUUAAUUAAGAAAGUUAUUGUAUCAAAAAUAUUUUUAAUAAUUAAUUUGUAAUGAAAUGUUAAUCGUCUUUAAAUAUAUCUAGUUUUUUUAGAAAUAAAUUUAAUUUAUAAUUUAUAAAAAAAAAAAUUAAAUAUUUAAUUUUUUUUUUUAUAAAUUAAAUAUUUUAAGGGAUAAGCUUUAAAUUAAAUAAUUAUAAUAAAAAUCACUAAAAAUUAAGUUUUUUAAAAUUUAAAUUGUUUAAAAAUUAUAUUUUUUUAUAAAAAAAUUUAUAAAAAUAAAAAAAUUUUAUUGAUAUGUUUAAUUUUUUAUAAAAAAAUAUUUUUAAAUUAUAAAAAAUUAGUUAUAAUGAUAAAAUUAGUAUAAAAUAAUAAUUUAAUAUUAAUUAAAAUUUUUAAAAAUUAAAAUAAAGGAAUUCGGCAAAUAUAAAUAUUCACUUGUUUAACAAAAACAUGUCUUUUUGAAUAAAUAAUUUAAAGUCAAAUCUGCCCACUGAUAAUUAUUAAAGGGCUGCAGUAUAUUGACUGUACAAAGGUAACAUAAUCAUUAGUCUUUUAAUUGAAGACUUGUAUGAAAGAUUUGAUGAAAUAUAAACUGUCUCUAAUUUAUAAUUAGAAUUUAAUUUUUUAGUAAAAAAGCUAAAAUAAUUUUAAAAGACGAGAAGACCCUAUAGAGUUUUAUAUUUAUAUAAAUUCUAAUUUUUUAUAAAUUAUUAAUAAAAAUUUAAUUAAAUAUUUUAUUGGGGUGAUGAAAAAAUUAGUAAAACUUUUUUUUUAAGAUUGACAUAGAUAAGUGAUUAAUUGAUCCAUAAAUUAAUUAUGAUUAUAAGAUUAAAUUACCUUAGGGAUAACAGCGUAAUUUUUUUUUUUAGUUCAAAUAAAAAAAAAAGUUUGCGACCUCGAUGUUGGAUUAAGAUAAAAUUUAAAUGUAGAAGUUUAAAAUUUUGAUCUGUUCGAUCAUUAAAAUCUUACAUGAUCUGAGUUCAAACCGGUGUAAGCCAGGUUGGUUUCUAUCUUUAGAAAUUUAUAAUAUUUUA